CCCCCGUUCUCCCCAAUUAACCCGCGAUAUUUCCCCCCGAAAAAUUUCCCUAAAAUCGCCGCACCCCCCAAAAAUCUCCCCAGCCCUCGAAUCUUCAUCGUCGAAGUCUGACCGCGGCCGUCGGCCAACGUGCCUUUCGUCCACCGGCACUCUCGCCCUCCCCCACCGCCUUCAUCUUUGCCGGCACUCUCGUCCACCGACUCUCGCCGGGGAUCUUGCUUCACCGCCUCCUCCUCCACCGCCUCUCGAUUCCACCGCAUCCUCCUCCACCGCGUCCUCCUCCACCGCACUCUCGUCCACUAUUUUUAUGGGGCAAUUUUUUCUUUUUUGUUUUUUUUUUUUUUUUUGUUUUUUUUUUUGGUUUUUUUUUUUUUUUUUGGGUUUUAAGGCUAAAGCUUUGAUGGGUUUAUGAUGUUUAGGAUGUUUAUGCUCUGCCCACAUCUUGAUGAGAAGCAGAGGAUGAGGCUGAGCAGGGAUUUGGGGUUGGAACCAAAACAGAUCAAGUUUUGGUUUCAAAAUAGGAGGACCCAAAUGAAGUUAACAUUUUUUAACUUACUGUCUUCAACUAUUUUUGUGUUUUUUUGGAGAAAGUUUUGUUAGAUUUGGGUAUGAGAACAAAAAAGGGGCCUUUUAGGUUUCUGCUAUCAAGGUUUAAAAAAAAGAUUAUUACCAUUGUUGUGUUUCUAAGUUAGAUUGGUGAUAUUUUCUUUGAUGUAGGCACAACAUGAGAGGCAAGAUAACUGCUCUCUUCGUGCGGAAAAUGAUAAGAUCAGAUGCGAGAACAUUGCAAUGAGAGAGGCUUUGAAGAACAUAAUCUGCCAAAUUGCGGAGGACCUCCAGUAAAUGAAGACUCCUAUUUUGAUGAGUAGAAGCUUAGAAUGGGGAAUGCUAGAUUAAAAGAAGAGACUUAAUGACAGGAUUUUUUCAAAGCCCGGGCAUCAUUUUUUAGGCCCUGAUACCCGAGUUGAGGCCUCGAGUGAUUCUGGUGUUGUGUUCAUGAGCCUUGUGGCUUUGGUUGAUAUGUUCAUGGACUCGGUUAAGUGGAUGAAACUAUUUCCAACUAUAGUUUCUAAUGCAAGAAACAUAUAUACUUGGACAACCUAUUGCUCAAGGUUUGUCACGGGAGAAUCUUACUAAGAUAUUUGCAGAAUUAAGGCGUUUGGGCUUGUCCCAGGAGGACAUUCUUCGAGGAAUUUCUUAUGUUCCUUGACUGGAUGGAUCAGGCCACUCCUAUCUUAUAUUUUGGACGUAUGAGUCAUUUUGGAUAUUGGAGACAUAUAUAAUAUUGGAUGUUUUUCAUUGUGAGAUAUUGAGUAAUCAUUGUGUAUGUAUAUGUUUUUUCUCUAAUAUUAUAUGUUGAGUAAUCAUUGUGUAUGUAUAUAUAAUAUUGGAUAUUUAGCAUCGUUUGAGACGUAUAUAUAACACUGGAUAUAUAGCACUGUUUUGAGACA
Asparagus officinalis (garden asparagus) is the source of this 1451-nucleotide long non-coding RNA. RefSeq lists it as uncharacterized. NCBI's taxonomy places the organism in Eukaryota, Viridiplantae, Streptophyta, Magnoliopsida, Asparagales, Asparagaceae. The transcript is spliced from 3 exons. The record is from RefSeq and is a predicted model, not a curated record.